Molecule: ribosomal RNA, 429 nt
Filed under: Verrucomicrobiota bacterium
Lineage: Bacteria; Pseudomonadati; Verrucomicrobiota
Description: Verrucomicrobia bacterium partial 16S ribosomal RNA
Rfam family: Bacterial small subunit ribosomal RNA
Source: RNAcentral
UGGGGAAUCUUCCGCAAUGGGCGAAAGCCUGACGGAGCAACGCCGCGUGAGUGAAGACGGCCUUCGGGUUGUAAAACUCUGUGAUUCGGGACGAAAGAUAAGCAGACGAAUAAUCUGCAUAAGUGACGGUACCGAAAAAGCAAGCCACGGCUAACUACGUGCCAGCAGCCGCGGUAAUACGUAGGUGGCAAGCGUUGUCCGGAAUUAUUGGGCGUAAAGCGCGCGCAGGCGGCUACUUAAGUCCAUCUUAAAAGUGCGGGGCUUAACCCCGGUAUGGGAUGGAAACUGAGAAGCUGGAGUGUCGGAGAGGAAAGUGGAAUUCCUAGUGUAGCGGUGAAAUGCGUAGAGAUUAGGAAGAACACCGGUGGCGAAGGCGACUUUCUGGACGACAACUGACGCUUAGGCGCGAAAGCGUGGGGAGCAAACAGG